AGUGAACGCUGGCGGUAGGCCUAACACAUGCAAGUCGAACGGCAGCACAGUAAGAGCUUGCUCUUACGGGUGGCGAGUGGCGGACGGGUGAGGAAUACAUCUGAAUCUACUUUUUCGUGGGGGAUAACGUAGGGAAACUUACGCUAAUACCGCAUACGACCUACGGGUGAAAGCAGGGGAUCUUCGGACCUUGCGCGAUUGAAUGAGCCGAUGUCGGAUUAGCUAGUUGGCGGGGUAAAGGCCCACCAAGGCGACGAUCCGUAGCUGGUCUGAGAGGAUGAUCAGCCACACGGGAACUGAGACACGGUCCAGACUCCUACGGGAGGCAGCAGUGGGGAAUAUUGGACAAUGGGCGCAAGCCUGAUCCAGCCAUACCGCGUGGGUGAAGAAGGCCUUCGGGUUGUAAAGCCCUUUUGUUGGGAAAGAAAAGCAGCAGGUUAAUACCCCGCUGUUCUGACGGUACCCAAAGAAUAAGCACCGGCUAACUUCGUG
Molecule: ribosomal RNA, 492 nt
Filed under: uncultured bacterium
Lineage: Bacteria
Description: partial 16S ribosomal RNA
Rfam family: Bacterial small subunit ribosomal RNA
Source: RNAcentral